This 147-nucleotide unclassified non-coding RNA is filed under the name soil metagenome. Its description in RNAcentral is "partial internal transcribed spacer 1". The record is from RNAcentral.
UAAUAAGUGUUUUAUGGCACUUUUUUAAAUCCAUAUCCACCUUGUGUGCAAUGUCAGUCGAUCUUCUUCAUGGAGAUCGACCAAACAUCAACCUUUAUCUUUUAACUCUUUGUCUGAAAAAUAUUAUGAAUAAACUAAUUCAAAAUA